GACGAACGCUGGCGGCGUGCUUAACACAUGCAAGUCGAACGGUAAGGCCCUUCGGGGUACACGAGUGGCGAACGGGUGAGUAACACGUGGGUGAUCUGCCCUGCACUUCGGGAUAAGCCUGGGAAACUGGGUCUAAUACCGGAUAGGACCACUGCCUGCAUGGGUGGUGGUGGAAAGCUUUUGCGGUGUGGGAUGGGCCCGCGGCCUAUCAGCUUGUUGGUGGGGUGAUGGCCUACCAAGGCGACGACGGGUAGCCGGCCUGAGAGGGUGACCGGCCACACUGGGACUGAGAUACGGCCCAGACUCCUACGGGAGGCAGCAGUGGGGAAUAUUGCACAAUGGGCGCAAGCCUGAUGCAGCGACGCCGCGUAAGGGAUGACGGCCUUCGGGUUGUAAACCUCUUUCAGCAUCGACGAAGCGAAAGUGACGGUAGGUGCAGAAGAAGGACCGGCCAACUACGUGCCAGCCGCCGCCGUAA
RNAcentral lists this ribosomal RNA (478 nucleotides) under uncultured bacterium. Its description in RNAcentral is "partial 16S ribosomal RNA". It matches the Rfam family "Bacterial small subunit ribosomal RNA", at positions 28 to 523 of the family's 1533-position model. The record is from RNAcentral.